AAGUGCAGAAUUCUCCUUGAUUUUUUCUCCAAGAAUUCUCUCUUGAGUUUUCUUUAGAAGUUGUUUUAACAAUCUUUUGAUUGUGGGAGCCAUCUUCAGCCUUCUUCUUGCCAUUGAUAUUCUUUGGAGGGGAGAUUAGAGUCGUUUCAAGGGAGUUGUGAGAUCUUUCGGGAUUUCAAGAUCUGAUUGUUUAGAGCUUUCGUAGGAGUUUCCCGUGACUUGGCAACUCGAUCUUGGUCCGCGCGCAACUCUCUUGAGUUUUCUUUAGAAGUUGUUUUAACAAUCUUUUAAUUGUGGGAGUCAUCUUCAGCCUUCUUCUUGCCAUUGAUAUUCUUUGGAAGGGAGAUUAGAGCCGUUUGAAGGGAGUUGUGAAAUCUUUCGGGAUUUCAAGGCUUCUUAGGACUUAUCUUUUAAUUUCUUGCUGUCAAUUUUUUUCUUUUAAAUUCUGCUUGUGUCGAUUUUAUUUAAUCACUUUGUUUGCUGUUCUUGUUGCGUUUCAGGCGUUCCAAAGCAUUCCAAAUCUGAUUCGCCCUCUUCUUUACUAAAGAUCGGAUCGUCUUUUUGUUCUUGGCCGCAAAAUUCGUUCAAAAUCCCUAAAUUCCUUGUUCUUGCCGAUUUCUUCUUUUCAGAUUUGGGUUGUUUUGAUUGCUGGAAUUUUGGGGAAAUUUAACUUGCUGUUUGUGUCUUUCUUUUCAGAUUCGGCAGAUUAGAGUAUUCUUUGGGGUUCAAUUACAUGUUCUUGAUUCCCCAAGAACCUUUAUUAACACUUAUUCCUAUUCUCAAUUUGAUUCUUUGCUGCUUUGGGGAUUUUUAUUUCAGAUCUGGAAAUUCAAAGUUCUAAUCUUUUAAUUUCUGUUUCGUUUCAGAUCUGUUCGUUUAGAGCCUCAUAGGAGUUUUCUCGUGACUUGGCAACUCGAUCUUGGUCCGCGCGCAACCCUCUAUCGUUUGGCUUGAUACGAGUCACAAAGGCCUUAGGAUGCGUACACGAAAGAAAGAGAAAAUCAAGAUUCACUUUCUUGUUUUCAAGAAAAUCAAGAAACCGAAUAUUGACCCAAUCUUGCUGUUUGGAGCGAUUUCAAGAAUCAAGAAAAUCAAGAUUUCAAUUCUUGGAAAUCUUGGUCCAAGAAACCAAAUCUUGCAGCCAAAGCGCAUUGGAUCUCCAUUACGAGCAUCAACGAACCAAUUUCGGUAGAAGAUAGAAUACAAGCCCAAGUUCUUGAAGGCAAGGCCCAAUAAGAUGAUUCCAAGCCCAAACAAGAAGACAAACCAUACUUACUUGAAAAUCAGGUCAAAUUGUCAAAGAGGCCCAAUUUGUAAAGUUUUAUUUUUUUAAAUACUUAGUUUAAAUUUUUAUGUAGAUAUUCAGUCUAAGAGGCCCAAUUAAAAGCCCUUGGCCGAAUUUUCAUUUAAAUAUUAAAAUAAUUGGGAGUUUUUUUAUUUUUAGUUUUCUAAUUAGAUUAGGAAAACACUUGAGAGGCCUAUAUAAAGGCUUGGCCGGCCACCUUGUGAUUCACUUCUCAAAUAUAUUAAAAAUUUCAGAUUUGUUUAA
This is a long non-coding RNA of Gossypium raimondii (Peruvian cotton), 1549 nucleotides long. RefSeq lists it as uncharacterized. The record is from RefSeq and is a predicted model, not a curated record. Lineage: Eukaryota; Viridiplantae; Streptophyta; Magnoliopsida; Malvales; Malvaceae. The transcript has 2 exons.